AGUGAAUCAUCGAAUCUUUGAACGCACCUUGCGCCCCUUGGCAUUCCGAGGGGCACACCCGUUUGAGUGUCGUGAAAUUCUCAAAACCUUUUCUUAGGGUUUUGGACUUGGAGGUUCAAUGCUCGCUUUCGGGACCCGAAAGCGAGCUCCUCUCAAAUGAAUUAGUGGGGUCUGCUUUGCUGGUCCUUGACGUGAUAAGAUGUUUCGACGUUUUGGACUUGGCACUGUCUCUUGGAUGCCUGCUUCUAACAGUCCGUCUCGUGGACAACGAUGGUGCUCUGGUCUCUCCUCCAUCCACAAUGGUGGGAGGCUGGACCCACAAAUAAAAACCUUGACCUCAAAUCGGGUGAGACUACCCGCUGAACUUAAGCAUAUCAAUAAGCGGAGGAA
Molecule: small RNA, 390 nt
Filed under: uncultured fungus
Lineage: Eukaryota; Fungi
Description: eukaryotic LSU rRNA
Rfam family: 5.8S ribosomal RNA (bases 1-72)
Source: RNAcentral